RNAcentral lists this unclassified non-coding RNA (226 nucleotides) under Hevea brasiliensis (rubber tree). Lineage: Eukaryota; Viridiplantae; Streptophyta; Magnoliopsida; Malpighiales; Euphorbiaceae. The record is from RNAcentral.
AAUACACGCCAUGUUUUCUGAUGCUGGUUUUGAUUUUUUUGCUACUUAUAUCUGUUUCUGCAAUAGCAUCAUCAAAGACCAGAAUUUCUUGGAGCAUAAUCAAGAAACUUAACCUGAAAGGUCCUUUUAUUGGUCUCAUUACUGUAUAUCCACCUGAAGAAAAUGCUUUCUUUGCAUCUGGAGCCUUCAAGCCUAAUGCUAAACACCCUUUUGUGGAUCUGUCAGG